Molecule: ribosomal RNA, 540 nt
Filed under: bacterium TGS7
Lineage: Bacteria
Description: bacterial SSU rRNA
Rfam family: Bacterial small subunit ribosomal RNA
Source: RNAcentral
GGCUCAAAGAGGGGGACCUUCGGGCCUCUCGCGUCAGGAUAUGCCCAGGUGGGAUUAGCUAGUUGGUGAGGUAAUGGCUCACCAAGGCGACGAUCCCUAGCUGGUCUGAGAGGAUGAUCAGCCACACUGGAACUGAGACACGGUCCAGACUCCUACGGGAGGCAGCAGUGGGGAAUAUUGCACAAUGGGCGCAAGCCUGAUGCAGCCAUGCCGCGUGUGUGAAGAAGGCCUUCGGGUUGUAAAGCACUUUCAGUCGUGAGGAAGGUAGUGUAGUUAAUAGCUGCAUUGCUUGACGUUAGCGACAGAAGAAGCACCGGCUAACUCCGUGCCAGCAGCCGCGGUAAUACGGAGGGUGCGAGCGUUAAUCGGAAUUACUGGGCGUAAAGCGCAUGCAGGUGGUUAGUUAAGUCAGAUGUGAAAGCCCGGGGCUCAACCUCGGAACUGCAUUUGAAACUGGCUGACUAGAGUACUGUAGAGGGGGGUAGAAUUUCAGGUGUAGCGGUGAAAUGCGUAAAGAUCUGAAGGAAUACCAGUGGCCAA